This 293-nucleotide ribosomal RNA is filed under the name uncultured bacterium. Its description in RNAcentral is "partial 16S ribosomal RNA". It matches the Rfam family "Bacterial small subunit ribosomal RNA", at positions 505 to 796 of the family's 1533-position model. The record is from RNAcentral.
GUGUCAGCCGCCGCGGUAAUACGUAGGGGGCAAGCGUUGUCCGGAAUUAUUGGGCGUAAAGAGCUCGUAGGCGGCUCAGCAAGUCGGCUGUGAAAUCCCGAGGCUCAACCUCGGAACUGCAGUCGAUACUGCUGUGGCUAGAGUCUGGUAGAGGAGAAUGGAAUUCCCGGUGUAGCGGUGAAAUGCGCAGAUAUCGGGAGGAACACCAGUAGCGAAGGCGGUUCUCUGGGCCAGUACUGACGCUGAGGAGCGAAAGCGUGGGUAGCAAACAGGAUUAGAAACCCCCGUAGUCC